RNAcentral lists this transfer RNA (63 nucleotides) under Chaetocnema paganettii. RNAcentral's name for it is "tRNA-Val". Lineage: Eukaryota; Metazoa; Arthropoda; Insecta; Coleoptera; Chrysomelidae. The record is from RNAcentral.
CAAAUUAGAGCUUGAUUAAGCAUUUUAUUUACAUUAAAAAGAUAGUUUAAAAACUUAAUUUGA